CCCUUAGAUGUUCUGGGAUGCACGCGCGUUACACUGAUUCGUUCAACGAGUUUAUGACCUUGCCUGAUGAGGUGGGGGAAUCUUUUCAAAUCGCAUCGUGAUGGGGAUAGAGUAUUGUAACUGUUAGUCUUCAACGAGGAAUUCCUAGUAAGUACGUGUCAUCAGCUCGUACUGAUUAUGUCCCUGCCCUUUGUACACACCGCCCGUCGCUCCCACCGAUUGAGUGCUCAGGUGAAUAGUAUGGACUGCAUCAGUGUUCGGUCUCCGAAUGUUGACGCGAGAAAUUCUGUGAAGCUUAUUGCUUAGAGGAAGGAGAAGUCGUAACA
Molecule: ribosomal RNA, 326 nt
Filed under: uncultured eukaryote
Lineage: Eukaryota
Description: partial 18S ribosomal RNA
Rfam family: Eukaryotic small subunit ribosomal RNA
Source: RNAcentral